AGUGAACGCUGGCGGUAGGCCUAACACAUGCAAGUCGAACGGCAGCACAGAGGAGCUUGCCCCUUGGGUGGCGAGUGGCGGACGGGUGAGGAAUACAUCGGAAUCUACUCUGUCGUGGGGGAUAACGUAGGGAAACUUACGCUAAUACCGCAUACGACCUACGGGUGAAAGCAGGGGACCUUCGGGCCUUGCGCGAUUGAAUGAGCCGAUGUCGGAUUAGCUAGUUGGCGGGGUAAAGGCCCACCAAGGCGACGAUCCGUAGCUGGUCUGAGAGGAUGAUCAGGCACACGGGAACUGAGACACGGUCCAGACUCCUACGGGGGGCAGCAGUGGGGAAUAUUGGACAAUGGGCGCAAGCCUGAUCCAGCCAUACCGCGUGGGUGAAGAAGGCCUUCGGGUUGUAAAGCCCUUUUGUUGGGAAAGAAAUCCAGCUGGCUAAUACCCGGUUGGGAUGACGGUACCCAAAGAAUAAGCACCGGCUAACUUCGUGCCAGCCGCCGCCGUAA
RNAcentral lists this ribosomal RNA (506 nucleotides) under uncultured bacterium. RNAcentral's name for it is "partial 16S ribosomal RNA". It matches the Rfam family "Bacterial small subunit ribosomal RNA", at positions 29 to 523 of the family's 1533-position model. The record is from RNAcentral.